GAUGAACGCUGGCGGCGUGCCUAAUACAUGCAAGUCGAGCGAACAGACGAGGAGCUUGCUCCUCUGACGUUAGCGGCGGACGGGUGAGUAACACGUGGAUAACCUACCUAUAAGACUGGGAUAACUUCGGGAAACCGGAGCUAAUACCGGAUAAUAUAUUGAACCGCAUGGUUCAAUAGUGAAAGACGGUUUUGCUGUCACUUAUAGAUGGAUCCGCGCCGCAUUAGCUAGUUGGUAAGGUAACAGCUUACCAAGGCAACGAUGCGUAGCCGACCUGAGAGGGGGAUAGGCCACACUGGAACUGGGACACGGUCCAGACUCCUACGGGAGGCAGCAGUAGGGAAUCUUCCGCAAUGGGCGAAAGCCUGACGGAGCAACGCCGCGUGAGUGAUGAAGGUCUUCGGAUCGUAAAACUCUGUUAUUAGGGAAGAACAAAUGUGUAAGUAACUAUGCACGUCUUGACGGUACCUAAUCAGAAAGCCACGGCUAACUACGUG
RNAcentral lists this ribosomal RNA (497 nucleotides) under uncultured bacterium. RNAcentral's name for it is "partial 16S ribosomal RNA". It matches the Rfam family "Bacterial small subunit ribosomal RNA", at positions 28 to 507 of the family's 1533-position model. The record is from RNAcentral.